CGACAUUCUCUGUUCAAGAUGACAGUACGCAUGCUCACACUGUUUGUAACUUUGGACCAAUCAGGGAAAACAGGGUGAGGGAAUCUCAGUAUUUGAAUUGGAUAGAAAUUGGAUAGGAAAUUUAUAUGUAAUGGAAUUUGUGGAAUGUGCUUUAUCGAUGUAUUAAAUGGUAUGGAAUGCGUUUGCACAAGGCCAGAGAGUUUGGGAGAAAUCCCUCCUGGUCCUUUCUGUGCAGAUAAGAAAAUAAAAUACUCAGGACUUCUUUUUCACUCAUUGCCUCAUGUGAGUUUUUGCUGUCUGUGAGACAGAGCAAGUUAUUGCCUGCAACAAUGGGAGCAAUCAGCUAUGCUGCCCCUCAACAAAUAGAAUAGCCAUUUGAUUGGUCCAAGUCAGAUAAGUUACCUUGUAGUUUGCCAAACUAUUUCAUUUUUUAGUGGCCUAGGGCCUGCUCUGAAUUUGUCUCACUCACCAGCUAACUAGUUUGGUCCUCACUAUAGUUUGUAAGGUGAGGUACACAGGGAUCACACAGUUAAAUAUGCUAACUGCGACUAGUGGACUUAAGGCAUGUAUUUCCCUACUCACAAAAAUAUAAUAUAUAUUUAUUUUAUAUAUAAUAUAAAAUAGAAGUGUCAUUUGCUUCUAAUUAGAGGAUUUCCAUUUAAAACAUGAAGUUUUGAAGCCCUAUGCAGGGCCAGGCAGAGUGAGGCGCCUGCCCUAGGCAACUGAUUUUAGGUGUCAUUAAGUGAUGGCAAAUUCUUACUUAUUUAAUUUAUUGUUGUUGCAUUUUCAUUUUUUACUGUUAGGGCCAUGUGGUAUGUUCUGCCUCAAGUGCCAAAAGCUGAUCAGCCUUGAGUCCCAUAAGACUGGACAGGGGGUGGUGGAGAGGGGACAAUUACUGCUCAGACUACCCUGGUUCUACAUUUCCUAAGACUGCCACUAGCUGCAUUAUUCCCUCAAUCCUCUGUUAGGUGAGAGAUGAACUCGUUUCCAGUUCUCACCCUACUUACACCUCCUGCUCUAGGCCUGUGUAGGGAGCAGUGUCAGGAAUGUGAAGCUGCAGAGACCACCCAUCUUUUUGCCUCUACAGCAGAUCCUUUCUCUGGCUCUUCAUUUCUUUAGCCAAGAAGCAACAAUUAGAACAGCAUUUGAUAAAUUGUUUUGUGUGGCCUCGGACAACUGCUCCACAAUUUCCUAGAUUGAAGUCAGUGAUUGCAGUAUUUUGUUUAUCAUAGUUUCUCCAGGAUCCUAUCAGAGCAACCAAAUUAAGUCCAGGGGUGCCUAGAAACCAGGAUCUGGUUUGACUCUUCAGAGAGACAUGUUUCUGUCUAAAACGCCCCUGAAGGAUGCAGUGAUUGAUACCGUUUCAGAAUAUAGCAGCUUCUGAAAUGACCAGAUGAAUGUGGCUGAGAAGCAUACAAGGAAAUGGCUCCACAAACUCUACAAAUCACAGUUUUGCACAGGA
Molecule: non-coding RNA, 1462 nt
Organism: Podarcis lilfordi (Lilford's wall lizard)
Lineage: Eukaryota; Metazoa; Chordata; Lepidosauria; Squamata; Lacertidae
Source: the annotation of a GenBank genome assembly